GUGGCGAGAAUGCCCGGAGCGCGCACCCCGUCACCCUCUCUAAACCCGGGCGCGGCUGCUCGGAGCUCGAGGUCCUGAGCAGAGCCCCGCGCCUCCCUCGGAGCGGGUGAGCGCCCCGGGUCCUCCGCAGGGGCCCUAGCGGGGUCGCCGACAGCCCACCCCGCGGCGCGCACCCUGACCCGGCCCCGCCCCCCAGCGGCCGCGAGUGGCGGGCGGAGCGCGCGGAGAGGCUCGCCGGGCUGUGCGGCGCCGCCUCUCCUCCGUGCCGGGGGAGGGACGGACGGGCCGGGCGGGAGAGAGAGAAAGCCCAAGCGCCCGGCUGGCGAGGAGCUGCAUGCAACCGGUGGGAGGCCGGGCCGACUGGCGCUGGGGCUGGGGCUCAGGCUGUUUCUCGGCGGGUCCCGGGCGGCGAGCGCGGACGGCCCGGAGGCGGCGGCUCUGAGCUGGCAGGCGGAGGGUUGUCUCCUGCGCCCGCCUGCCCGGCGCGGUCCGAGGAUGCGGGGGGGCGAUGCCCGGGGCCAGGGACGCGCUCUGUCACCAGGCGCUGCAGCUGCUGGCCGAGCUCUGUGCUCGUGGGGCCCUGGAGCACGACAGCUGCCAGGAUUUCAUCUACCACCUGCGCGACCGCGCCAGACCCCGGCUCCGCGACCCAGAUAUCUCAGUGAGCCUGCUGACCCUUGUGGUCACUGCCUGUGGCCUCGCCCUCUUUGGUGUGUCUCUCUUCGUGUCCUGGAAACUCUGCUGGGUUCCGUGGCGAGAACGAGGGCUGCUUUCUGGUGGCAAAGACAACAACCAGGAGCAUCUUAACCACACGGACACAGAGACCAAUGAGCAGGAGAACAGCGAGGACAUCCUAGACCCUCCCACCCCCUGUCCUGACGCCUCCAUGAAGUUCAGCCACACCUCCCCUGACAUUCCCCUCUCUGCCCAGGCAGAGGAUCAGGAGAACUAUGCCCAUGGCAUCCGUGUACAGCGCCAAGUCACAGAGCCAACCUCAUCAGCUCGGCAUAAUUCACUCCGAAGACAGCUCAACCUGUCAAACCCGGACUUCAAUAUCCAGCAGCUUCAAAAACAGGAACAGUUGACUGGAAUUGGUCGAAUUAAGCCAGAGUUAUAUAAGCAGAAGUCAUUGGAUAAUGAUGAUGGGAAAAGGGGUAACAGCAAAGCCUGUGGGAAACUGAACUUCAUUUUAAAAUAUGACUGUGACUUAGAGCAGCUCAUAGUGAAGAUUCACAAAGCUGUCAAUUUGCCCGCCAAGGACUUUUCUGGGACUUCAGAUCCUUACGUCAAGAUCUAUUUGCUUCCUGAUCGGAAAACAAAACACCAGACUAAAGUUCACAGAAAGACCCUGAACCCUGUGUUUGAUGAAGUGUUUUUGUUUCCAGUUUCAUACAAUGACCUUGCUGCACGGAAGCUUCACUUCUCUGUGUAUGACUUUGACAGGUUCUCUCGCCAUGACUUAAUUGGCCAAGUGGUAGUGGAGCACUUCUUAGACUUGGCUGAUUUCCCCAGGGAGUGCAUCCUUUGGAAGGAUAUCGAAUAUGUCACCAAUGACAACGUGGAUCUUGGAGAGUUGAUGUUUUCCCUCUGCUAUCUUCCAACGGCUGGCAGGCUGACCAUUACCAUUAUAAAAGCAAGAAAUUUAAAGGCAAUGGACAUAACAGGAGCCUCAGAUCCCUAUGUGAAAGUCUCCCUGAUGUGUGAUGGCAGACGUAUGAAAAAGAGGAAAACGUCCACCAAGAGGAACACUCUGAAUCCUGUUUACAACGAAGCCAUAGUCUUUGACGUCCCUCCUGAGAACAUCGACCAGAUCCACUUGUCCAUAGCAGUCAUGGACUACGACCGGUCACAAUGAGAUCAUCGGCGUGUGUCAAGUAGGGAAUGAAGCUGAAAGGCUGGGCAGAGACCACUGGAGUGAGAUGUUGUCGUAUCCUCGGAAGCCCAUUGCACACUGGCAUUCUCUGGUGGAGAAACGAUGACUAUGGGUAAGAGGACUACUAGUGCCAAGACACAGUAGGACAACAAUCUUACAAAGAUCUUCAGUAACUUUUCCCAUCCAGCAACACCCAGAAGACUCCAGUGACCAAAGGCUGAGCUGUAACCACAGCAAUAACUGGCCCUCUUUGCAGACUGGGUUUGGUGAGCACGAAUGGUCCAGCCAUCUUCAGUGACCCAAGGUGGUGUGUGCAGGGGAAGCACGUCUCUCACGGCCAAGAACCAAGAUCAGACUAUGGAAGAAACCAACUGGUGUAGUGAGAGGACUGAGAGUACCUGGCAUACCAGGGCUCUCAGAGAUUAACAUAAGCACCUGCCCUGGCAACGUCACACUGACAGGAUGCCGUUUGCUUGAGUGCCCUGGAAGGAUGGAAUAUUUAAAAAUAUAUCCAGGUGCUAAAUAGGCAGCAGAUCUAAUUCACACUGGACUACCUUUGAGCUAAUAACUGUCUCCAGAAAAUCAUUUCGCCCCAAGACAUACUCCAGCCCAACAAGGAAUAACCCGAGGAGGGCCAUAGGAUGAGAUUCUGUUCCCCUGGAGCAAUCUAGUGCAAGGAUUUAAAGAAAAUCUCCAGCAAAUUCACUGCCCCCUCCCAUUCACAUGGCGGAGAGUACCAGUUGACCAUGGCCCUUUCUUCUGCUAACCCCAGAUUCUAAGGAGUCAGAUCCCCAACAGUGCUUUCCAGAUAGCCAGCAGCCACUUCCUUUCCACUGGUUUGGCAUUAGAAUGAAAGUUCAUUGUCAUCCCUGUUAGAGAGACAUACAUCUCAAUGGCAGAAGCAUUCUGGAUACCUUUUCCCCAAAUAUUUAUCCACUGAGCGAACAGCCUCAGAAACAGACGUCCCGUUGUAUGAGACGAGUUGAUGGAGAGGUAACACAGCCUCCCCUGAGGGAAGGCACAACUUUUGGGCCUUCUUGGCCUGAGAGCCUUCUGGAGUAUUUCCAUAUCCAACAGCCCAGAGGCAUAGCUGUGGGGAGCCACAGUCAGGUUUCCUUUUCGCUUCUAGACACAUGUAUCACUUUCACAGCACUUGGCAAGUGGAAAUAUCUGUAAGAAUGAAAGUCAAGGGCUCUUUCCAGGUAUCUCAUUCAUUGCUCAACUUCCUUUGUGACUGCUUUCGCCAACCCAUUGGCAGCUCUACUUCUCGUCGUCAUUGCUUCUGCCUCCAUGAACUGAAACCAAAGGCCUGAGUGCACCCAGGGGAGGAACACUAUUACCUAGUGGUAGUCUCUCUCCCGUUCUGGGUGCAAAGUACCCUGCCCGCACUUUUGUGCCAGUUCUCCAAGAUGCAUUUCCCCUUUUAUACAUUCCCUUUGCAGUGGAAUCCAGACUUGGAUUGUAGUUGACCUUCCUGGGAAGUUCAUUAUCUUCAUUUGAAUUAACAUUUCAGUGUGGGACUGACUGGGUGGAAGCAGGGUCAUUGCAUGUCUUCAGAAAAUUCUUGUCGCCACAGCUGCCUGGUGCAAAAAACUACCCUGUCACAUCUAAAAAGGAUGGAGGCUUUUGGCUGUGGGAGACAGUGUUACUACACUCUAGCUUCACAUGUUCCCCAGCCUGCCCAGUCCAUUUCCAUCUCUGAUUGGCUUUCGACCACCAGGAUCCAAGAGAACGCAAGGCCCUGCCUAUGUCUGAUGACAUGAGAAGAAUUCAACUUUCUUGGCCGAAGGUUGGCCUGUGCCUAUUUCUGCCUUUCCUGCCUAAUACUCUCUUUCAUCAUCCUUGACUCAGACAUCCUCUGCCGUCCCAGUGUUUUGAACCAAAGCGUGAGGACUAGUGCCAGUAAGAGAGUUAGCAGAGAUAUCCUCUCUAGAGCCAGGCAGAUAAGCUCAGAAGAAUGGUCCCAGAGAAAUAAGACCAGCCCCAUUAGAUAUCAAGCAGCCAUCCCAAUAAACUUGGGCAUGUCCUUGGCACAGGGAACCUGCCUAGGAGAUCGUGGGGCAGCUAUGCCUGUUGUUUGCCCUCAAGGUCUUCUUGCCCAGAGAGUGAGCAGCCCUGGGGUACUGAGUAUGUUACUGGCUGCUUGUUUGAAGCAGAAGGUGGCUUUGUAGGGACCAGCAGCAAAUAGGCCUGCCCACAUGGCUUUGUGUCUAGAAAGCUUUGCCUAGCCAGUCCAGCUGUGGCCAGAGGCCAGUUAUAAAUCUGAACCCCCUGAGACCAUCUGCACCUCUGCCUCUCUUCUCUUGUGUUCUGUUUGGUUUCCCUUUAGUUUCCUAGUAAAUGCUCCUUUUGAAAAAUUCCAA
Manis pentadactyla (Chinese pangolin) is the source of this 4236-nucleotide RNA transcript. It is a transcript of the gene named synaptotagmin 9, with no coding region annotated. Lineage: Eukaryota; Metazoa; Chordata; Mammalia; Pholidota; Manidae. The record is from RefSeq and is a predicted model, not a curated record. The transcript is spliced from 7 exons.